GACGAACGCUGGCGGCGUGCCUAAUACAUGCAAGUUGAGCGCUGAAGGUUGGUACUUGUACCAACUGGGUGAGCAGCGAACGGGUGAGUAACGCGUGGGGAAUCUGCCUUUGAGCGGGGGACAACAUUUGGAAACGAAUGCUAAUACCGCAUAAAAACUUUAAACACAAGUUUUAAGUUUGAAAGAUGCAAUUGCAUCACUCAAAGAUGAUCCCGCGUUGUAUUAGCUAGUUGGUGAGGUAAAGGCUCACCAAGGCGAUGCUGCCGUGCCGAACUGAGAGGGUGAUCGGCCACCUUGGGGCUGAGACCAGGCCCAAACUCCUACGGGAGGCAGCAGGAGGGAAACUUCGGCAAUGGGCGAAAGUCUGACCGAGAAACGCCGCGUGAGGGAAGAAGGUUUUCGGGUCGUAAAACUCUGUUGGUAGAGAAGAACGUUGGUGAGAGUGGAAAGCUCAUCAAGUGACGGUAACUACCCAGAAAGGGACGGCUAACUACGUG
RNAcentral lists this ribosomal RNA (497 nucleotides) under uncultured bacterium. Its description in RNAcentral is "partial 16S ribosomal RNA". It matches the Rfam family "Bacterial small subunit ribosomal RNA", at positions 28 to 507 of the family's 1533-position model. The record is from RNAcentral.